Molecule: long non-coding RNA, 406 nt
Filed under: Eucalyptus grandis
Lineage: Eukaryota; Viridiplantae; Streptophyta; Magnoliopsida; Myrtales; Myrtaceae
Description: long non-coding RNA (EGRA_LNC004248)
Source: RNAcentral
CGGCAACACCAACUAGAUCCUCUCCAAGCCGUGGACAACGCCUUAGCCCACAGCCGAAUCAUCAUGCUUUUACACCCCUCUGUACAACGGAUCAACAACAACCUGGUCAGUUCAAAUCGGAGAUGGAAACCGCCUGAAAAGGGAUGCCUUAAAUGUAAUGUUGAUGGGGCUUUUCGACCAGGGUCGGAGGAUGGAUCAAUUGCGUGUAUCUACAGAGAUUGUAAAGGAGUUCUUACCGAUGUGAUUACCAGAACUGUUCCAGCCCAAUCGGCCUCCAAGCUGAAAUCUAUGCUCUCAUAUCGGCUAUCCAACAUCUGAUCCAGCAGGGACUUCAUCUUCAACACAUCGUGAUUGAGUCUGAUUGUCUGUCGUUAGUGGAAAUCGUUCAGCAACAGCAGUAGCCACC